This 490-nucleotide ribosomal RNA is filed under the name uncultured bacterium. Its description in RNAcentral is "bacterial SSU rRNA". It matches the Rfam family "Bacterial small subunit ribosomal RNA", at positions 8 to 524 of the family's 1533-position model. The record is from RNAcentral.
AGAGUUUGAUCCUGGCUCAGAAUGAACGUUGGCGGCGUGGAUUAGGCAUGCAAGUCGAGCGAGGAAGCUUGUAGCAAUACGAGUCAUUCGAGCGGCGUAAGGGGCAGUAAUACCUGGGAACGUACCCUCGGGUCGGGGAUAGCUGCUGGAAACGGCGAGUAAUACCCGAUGAUCUCGAGAGAGCAAAGGCUUGCCGCCCGUGGAGCGGCCCAGGCGAUAUUAGCUAGUUGGUGGGGUAAUGGCCUACCAAGGCAUAGAUGUCUAGCGGGUGUGAGAGCACGACCCGCGCCACUGGCACUGAGACACUGGCCAGACACCUACGGGUGGCUGCAGUCGAGAAUCUUCGGCAGUGGGGGCAACCCUGACCGAGCGACGCCGCGUGCGGGAUGAAGGCCUUCGGGUUGUAAACCGCUUUGGUCCGAGAGAAAGGGCAACUUGAUCGAUCGGAGAAACAAGGACGGGCUAAGUUCGUGCCAGCAGCCGCGGUAAG